Molecule: ribosomal RNA, 253 nt
Filed under: uncultured bacterium
Lineage: Bacteria
Description: partial 16S ribosomal RNA
Rfam family: Bacterial small subunit ribosomal RNA
Source: RNAcentral
UACAGAGGUCCCAAGCGUUGUUCGGAUUCACUGGGCGUAAAGGGUGCGUAGGUGGUGAGGUAAGUCGGAUGUGAAAGCUCCGAGCUCAACUCGGAAAUGGCAUUGGAAACUACCUUGCUCGAGGGUUUGAGGGGGGACUGGAAUACUUGGUGUAGCAGUGAAAUGCGCAGAUAUCAAGUAGAACACCAGUGGCGAAGGCGAGUCCCUGGAAAACUCCUGACACUGAGGCACGAAAGCUAGGGGAGCAAACAGG